This 545-nucleotide ribosomal RNA is filed under the name Sebacina sp. YM2885. Its description in RNAcentral is "eukaryotic LSU rRNA". The stretch from base 149 to 302 matches the Rfam family "5.8S ribosomal RNA". The record is from RNAcentral. Lineage: Eukaryota; Fungi; Basidiomycota; Agaricomycetes; Sebacinales; Sebacinaceae.
CUGGCUGGCUCCCAGCAUGUGCACGGAGGUGACUUUCAUACAGUACCCUUUUGUGAACCUUUGGCCUCAUGCUGGCUUCGGCUGGCUGAGGAUUUACACAAACUUGCAUGUAACAGAAAACCCUUGUUGUGCGCAAGCACUAAUGUACAACUUUCAACAACGGAUCUCUUGGCUCUCGCAUCGAUGAAGAACGCAGCGAAAUGCGAUAAGUAAUGUGAAUUGCAGAAUUCAGUGAAUCAUCGAAUCUUUGAACGCACCUUGCACCCUUUGGUAUUCCAAAGGGUAUGCUCGUUUGAGUGUCAUUGUACUCUCACACUCUGAUUCAGAGAAGUGGACUUGGGUGUUGCUGCUUUGCUGUGGCUCAUCUCAAAUAUGGUAGUGCAACUCAUGGUUGGAUAUAGUACAGCGUGAUAAGUAUCCUCGCUGGCACCUCAUGAAGAGGGUGUCCGAUUGGGAGCUCUGUGCUUCAAACUGUCCUGUCUGGGACAAUCUUUGACAACUUGACCUCAAAUCGAGUAGGACUACCCGCUGAACUUAAGCAUAUC